CUACUGUAGAAAGACAAUAAAUGAUCAUAAAUAAUGCAAACAAGAUAUGGCAAGGACCACUGCAUGUUAGUAUCAUAUAUUUCAUUAUUUAAACAAUUCAGCACAAUGUGGAACACCACAUUCAUUGCUGCUACAGCACCAUAGACCGGGCGGAGAAUAGGGGAAUCGUCACCAAAAAGUGAAAUUUAUGAGACCAAGUCAGUUUGGUUAAUUUGAGAGCGCUAAUUUUGAUAAUUAACAAUUAUUGGAUGAGGUUUUUGUGAUAUGCGGAAUUAUCAAGGUCGAGGUAAGCGUUA
Paramuricea clavata is the source of this 296-nucleotide non-coding RNA. The record is from the annotation of a GenBank genome assembly. Lineage: Eukaryota; Metazoa; Cnidaria; Anthozoa; Malacalcyonacea; Plexauridae.